Molecule: ribosomal RNA, 379 nt
Filed under: uncultured organism
Description: partial 16S ribosomal RNA
Rfam family: Bacterial small subunit ribosomal RNA
Source: RNAcentral
GUAGGGUGCAAGCGUUAUCCGGAAUCAUUGGGCGUAAAGAGCUCGUAGGCGGUUCAGCAAGUCCGGCUGUGAAAUUCCGAGGGCUCAACCUCGGAACUGCAGUCGAUACUGCUGUGACUCGAGUCCGGUAGAGGAGAAUGGAAUUCCCGGUGUAGCGGUGAAAUGCGCAGAUAUCGGGAGGAACACCAGUAGCGAAGGCGGUUCUCUGGGCCGGCACUGACGCUGAGGAGCGAAAGCGUGGGUAGCAAACAGGAUUAGAUACCCUGGUAGUCCACGCCGUAAACGUUGGAUUACUAGGUGUGGGGUUCCGAUCAACGGUCCCCGUGCCGAAGCUAACGCAUUAAGUAUCCCGCCUGGGGAGUACGGCCGCAAAGGCUAA